This 22-nucleotide microRNA is filed under the name Lotus japonicus. RNAcentral's name for it is "lja-miR7518". The record is from miRBase by way of RNAcentral. Lineage: Eukaryota; Viridiplantae; Streptophyta; Magnoliopsida; Fabales; Fabaceae.
UUGCGCACUGAGCAAGGACAGG